This 800-nucleotide ribosomal RNA is filed under the name Halomonas sp. RNAcentral describes it as "bacterial SSU rRNA". It matches the Rfam family "Bacterial small subunit ribosomal RNA", at positions 53 to 849 of the family's 1533-position model. Lineage: Bacteria; Pseudomonadati; Pseudomonadota; Gammaproteobacteria; Oceanospirillales; Halomonadaceae. The record is from RNAcentral.
ACCAUGCAAGUCGAGCGGUAACAGGUCCAGCUUGCUGGAUGCUGACGAGCGGCGGACGGGUGAGUAACGCAUAGGAAUCUACCCGGUAGUGGGGGAUAACCUGGGGAAACCCAGGCUAAUACCGCAUACGUCCUACGGGAGAAAGGGGGCUUAGGCUCCCGCUAUUGGAUGAGCCUAUGCCGGAUUAGCUGGUUGGUGAGGUAAUGGCUCACCAAGGCGACGAUCCGUAGCUGGUCUGAGAGGAUGAUCAGCCACAUCGGGACUGAGACACGGCCCGAACUCCUACGGGAGGCAGCAGUGGGGAAUAUUGGACAAUGGGGGCAACCCUGAUCCAGCCAUGCCGCGUGUGUGAAGAAGGCCCUCGGGUUGUAAAGCACUUUCAGCGAGGAAGAACGCCUGUCGGUUAAUACCCGGCAGGAAAGACAUCACUCGCAGAAGAAGCACCGGCUAACUCCGUGCCAGCAGCCGCGGUAAUACGGAGGGUGCAAGCGUUAAUCGGAAUUACUGGGCGUAAAGCGCGCGUAGGUGGCUUGAUAAGCCGGUUGUGAAAGCCCCGGGCUCAACCUGGGAACGGCAUCCGGAACUAUUAGGCUAGAGUGCAGGAGAGGAAGGUAGAAUUCCCGGUGUAGCGGUGAAAUGCGUAGAGAUCGGGAGGAAUACCAGUGGCGAAGGCGGCCUUCUGGACUGACACUGACACUGAGGUGCGAAAGCGUGGGUAGCAAACAGGAUUAGAUACCCUGGUAGUCCACGCCGUAAACGAUGUCGACCAGCCGUUGGGUGCCUAGCGCACUUUGUGGCGA